GGGAAGAGAAGAGAAAGGAAGAUGGAAAGAAGGAAGGAAGACCACAAAUAUUAGAAAUUCUGGGUUUGUUAGAGAAUAUGCCAUACUGUUGUUGUUUUUUUUCACUUGAAAGAGUAUCUGCCAUUGAAGAUUGGAUGUCUUGUUGUGAUAAAGGCAUGACAUUAUACAAAAAUUGAUAAACGACAGAAAAUCAGCCAACAAAAAUGAAAGUGUGGCAAAUAAAUGAAAGUGUCAACACCGAAAGUGAAAUUCAGAUUGGAUCUUGAUGGAUUGAUAGAAGAAAUAGUUAAUUGCGAGAAUGCUGACACAACUACCAUCCAAGAGAUUUCGUAUGUGCAGUCAGGGGAACUUAUGGAAGACAUAUUUACAACUUAAAUGAAGAAGCUGAUUGCAGGGAAAAGACGAACAUUUUCCCAGAAGAUGUGAUGCUGAGAAAAUAAAAUUACAUUGAAGAAAUUCUCCAAGAUGUUUAAAGACAAUGAACGUGCAAACAAUAAAAUGUUGGACAAAUAAUCGAAUUUAUAAAGAAG
RNAcentral lists this long non-coding RNA (530 nucleotides) under Pan troglodytes (chimpanzee). Its description in RNAcentral is "lincRNA". Lineage: Eukaryota; Metazoa; Chordata; Mammalia; Primates; Hominidae. The record is from RNAcentral.